Long non-coding RNA from Limulus polyphemus (Atlantic horseshoe crab), 1020 nucleotides. RefSeq lists it as uncharacterized. NCBI's taxonomy places the organism in Eukaryota, Metazoa, Arthropoda, Merostomata, Xiphosura, Limulidae. The transcript is spliced from 2 exons. The record is from RefSeq and is a predicted model, not a curated record.
AUCUUACGUUAGAACGUUUCACGAGUGGCGCGUGCUUGUUUUUGGUUAGAAAACAAUGCCUCGAGUGUAACAUCAAGAGUCUCUUAAGCUAGACGUUAAUUUCACCAAGAAAGAACUUCGAAAAUAAAUUUAAGUUAAACCUCAAAUAUUAAAGAACCGCAAGGUCCCGUUUCACAUAAAGACUUGUAAUACAUCAAAAGAUACAAAACUCUGCCUUAUGUUCAAGUGAGUGACGAGAAGUGUUCUAAGAAAUUGGAUGGUUUUAGAUCGUGAUUGUUACCAGUAUAGAACCGCCAGUCCAUGAAAUAUGUUUAAUAUCUUCGAAUUAUUCUUUUCCUGAUGCCUCAAUAUUUUUCAGUGUGUCAAAACCCAUGGAAAUAAACCGAGUCAGGGUGAUUUCAUAAACAUCUUAAAGACAAGUUUACAUAUUUAUACCCCAGCACGUGCAGAAAGCUCGCGAUCGAUAGUGAAUAUUCACACCACAAAAAGAUACAAUCAGUGGACAUAUGUUCCCUUUAAGAACCUUCACAAGAAAUAUUUCUCAUUCUUGCACUCCACCUCCCACCCCCAAGUGGCUCAGUGGUUAAUUAAAUCUGGAGGCUUACGACGCUAAAAAUCGGGUUUCGAUACCCGCGGCGGGCAAAACAAAGUUACCUAACUGUGCCUAACAACAAGCAGCUACUCAACUAUUUUUUACUCUCUAUAAUUUCAGCAUGACAGUUUCUGAGCUUGAACUAGCCAUUUUAAAAUGUAAAUCAACACAAUCCGAAAUGGGAUAUUUACUAUCUACAUCCGGUGGCCACAACUUCUACAUGUCUGUCCGACAGUGUAUGAGAUUUUCUGCAUCGUUUCCUGGGAUCAGCAGAUUCACCCCUUUUUGAUGUAUUUACACAAUGGUGUCGACGGUUUUACAUCAGCGCCACCUAUUCAAGGAUAUAGAGCAUGAAUGAACAAAGUGGAGCAGCAGAAAAUGGAGUGGAAACUUGUACUCGAUAAGAAAUAAAACCGGCCCUAAAUAUA